GACGAACCGUGCGAACGUUGUUCGGAAUCACUGGGCUUAAAGGGCGCGUAGGCGGGCGACCAAGUCAGGGGUGAAAUCUUUCGGCUCAACCGGAAAAUAGCUUCUGAUACUGGCCGUCUGGAGGGAGGUAGGGGUCUGUGGAACUUCUGGUGGAGCGGUGAAAUGCGUAGAUAUCAGAAGGAACGCCGGUGGCGAAAGCGACGGACUGGACCUCUUCUGACGCUGAGGCGCGAAAGCUAGGGGAGCAAACGGG
RNAcentral lists this ribosomal RNA (253 nucleotides) under uncultured bacterium. RNAcentral's name for it is "partial 16S ribosomal RNA". It matches the Rfam family "Bacterial small subunit ribosomal RNA", at positions 524 to 776 of the family's 1533-position model. The record is from RNAcentral.